Molecule: transfer RNA, 73 nt
Filed under: Mustela putorius furo (domestic ferret)
Lineage: Eukaryota; Metazoa; Chordata; Mammalia; Carnivora; Mustelidae
Rfam family: tRNA
About the family: Transfer RNA (tRNA) molecules are approximately 80 nucleotides in length. Their secondary structure includes four short double-helical elements and three loops (D, anti-codon, and T loops).
Source: Rfam by way of RNAcentral
GCUUGGCUGGCUCAGUCAGUAGAAUAUGUGACUCUUGAUCUUAGGGUCAUGAGUUUGAACCCCAUGUCAGGCA